AGUUAGUUUUGAAUAGCUCCUGAUGAGACUCUGUUUACAAGUCGUGUUUCCACGCAGGGCAGAGCCCCGGAGCUGCCUUCAGUGUGGGUUCAUCAUUGUGAGUUGAGGCAUCUGGCCAGCUGGACUCCAUGGAAACCCAUCUCCAACCAAGCCCAUGCAGUACCCAUGCAUCUUGUGUGCAUUCAGGGCCUGGAGUUAGCCUGCACCUGUGCAUACACAUUUCUCAAAACCUCGGAGGGUCCCUCGCUGAAACAUCAAGUUGCUCAAAGGAAAGUAAGAAAUGCCUGGCUUACCUGGAAGAGGCAUGCCACCAGAGGAAAGCGAUCCCUCAAAAACAAGCUCAUCUGACUGUGCCCAUGACUCAACUUCAAAGGCUGCCUCCCUCCAGUCAGUGAAGCGUGCGAUCACAGUGAGUUAGCCCCACAUCAGACGUGGAUAGCUCUUGGUGGACUGCUGCUGUAUUUCAGCAAUACUUUCACACCAUUUCUGUCUGUAACCCUUUACACAGGUCAGAGUAAGUAAAUGGAAAGAGAUAUACUUCUAUUUUGUUUUGUUUUACUUUUGACACAGGGUCUUGCUAUAAGUUAGCCCAGGCUGGCCUGCAACUCAAGAUCCUCUUGCUACAGCCUCCCAAGGGCUGGGGUCUCAUGUGUGUUUUUGGUAAAGUCUGUAUUACCUUGAUAACAAUAAAGCUACUUUCUUCUCUUGCUACA
This 713-nucleotide long non-coding RNA is filed under the name Mus spicilegus (steppe mouse). RNAcentral's name for it is "lncRNA (ENSMSIG00000027764.1)". The record is from RNAcentral. Lineage: Eukaryota; Metazoa; Chordata; Mammalia; Rodentia; Muridae.